Molecule: ribosomal RNA, 120 nt
Filed under: Lepisosteus oculatus (spotted gar)
Lineage: Eukaryota; Metazoa; Chordata; Actinopteri; Semionotiformes; Lepisosteidae
Source: RNAcentral
CCCAGCAGCCAUGUCACCCUGCAAUUCACAUCUGGCAACCCACUGGAGCUCAGCAGGUGUGAGCCUGGUCAGUAGCUGGAUGGGAGACCUUCUGGGGAAAAACUAAGGUUGCUGCUGGAA